RNAcentral lists this long non-coding RNA (328 nucleotides) under Gallus gallus (chicken). Lineage: Eukaryota; Metazoa; Chordata; Aves; Galliformes; Phasianidae. The record is from RNAcentral.
CUUUGGUCACAUGCAUUUCCCAUGCUGAAUUUAAGAUACAAGAUUCAUCUUAUUAAUUUCAAGGGCAAUUAAAAAAUGUAGCUCCUUAAUUAUAUAAAAGGUAUACCUGGAGAGCUCCCAUUUCUUCCUCUCUUCUGUGCAACUUCUCUAGUAGCUCUCUCUUUUCUUUGUGAACUUCUUCCAAAAGUUGUUCUUGCUUUUUUAUCUGUUUGAAGAGAGACUGAUGUUCAGACUCCUUCAGCUGUGUAAAGUGCUUGAGAUGUUGUUGGCUCUGCAGCAAGUAGCGUCGCAGCUUUUUUUCCUUAUUUUCUCUCUCUUUCACCUCCUC